Long non-coding RNA from Sinocyclocheilus rhinocerous, 467 nucleotides. RefSeq lists it as uncharacterized. The transcript is spliced from 3 exons. The record is from RefSeq and is a predicted model, not a curated record. Lineage: Eukaryota; Metazoa; Chordata; Actinopteri; Cypriniformes; Cyprinidae.
AAAUAUUUUCAUUUCACAAGCUUUUAGAACUUCUGUCAGGGUUUAUGAAAUUUAAUCGAACGUGAAUAUAAAAAAAGAGGCUGAGUUUGUUCAUUGUUUUAUAAAUUAUAGAGGCCAAAACCUCUGAAAACUGUUUCCUAUUCCAGUACUUCUAUACAGUACUUCCAGUACUGACUAAGAUUAAUAUGCAUCAAUAUUUUCUUAAAAAGAUACACAAAAAAAGACAAAAAAAAAAAAAAAAAAAAAAACCAAAAAAAAAAAAAAAAGGAGUGUGUCCAAAUUUGAAUAGAAAAUGCAGAGCUUAAAGCUCAGGCAGCUUUCAUAGAUGAUUAGGCAAUAAUAAUAAAAAAAUAGCAAUAAUAAUAAAAAUCAGUCUGAUUAUUGCGCAACAGAAUUCAGGAAUGUCUUAAAUUAUAUUUUUUAAAAAUAAUAAUAAAAAAUAAAAUAGUAAAGUAAUAAAAGCAAAC